GAUGAACGCUGGCGGCGUGCCUAAUACAUGCAAGUCGAGCGAACAGAUGAGGAGCUUGCUCCUCUGACGUUAGCGGCGGACGGGUGAGUAACACGUGGAUAACCUACCUAUAAGACUGGGAUAACUACGGGAAACCGGAGCUAAUACCGGAUAAUAUAUUGAACAGCAUGGUUCAAUAGUGAAAGACGGUUUUGCUGUCACUUAUAGAUGGAUCCGCGCCGCAUUAGCUAGUUGGUAAGGUAACGGCUUACCAAGGCAACGAUGCGUAGCCGACCUGAGAGGGUGAUCGGCCACACUGGAACUGAGACACGGUCCAGACUCCUACGGGAGGCAGCAGUAGGGAAUCUUCCGCAAUGGGCGAAAGCCUGACGGAGCAACGCCGCGUGAGUGAUGAAGGUCUUCGGAUCGUAAAACUCUGUUAUUAGGGAAGAACAAAUGUGUAAGUAACUAUGCACGUCUUGACGGUACCUAAUCAGAAAGCCACGGCUAACUACGUG
RNAcentral lists this ribosomal RNA (497 nucleotides) under uncultured bacterium. RNAcentral's name for it is "partial 16S ribosomal RNA". It matches the Rfam family "Bacterial small subunit ribosomal RNA", at positions 28 to 507 of the family's 1533-position model. The record is from RNAcentral.